This 920-nucleotide ribosomal RNA is filed under the name Halomonas caseinilytica. RNAcentral describes it as "bacterial SSU rRNA". It matches the Rfam family "Bacterial small subunit ribosomal RNA", at positions 56 to 968 of the family's 1533-position model. The record is from RNAcentral. Lineage: Bacteria; Pseudomonadati; Pseudomonadota; Gammaproteobacteria; Oceanospirillales; Halomonadaceae.
UGCAAGUCGAGCGGAACGAUCCUAGCUUGCUAGGAGGCGUCGAGCGGCGGACGGGUGAGUAAUGCAUAGGAAUCUGCCCGAUAGUGGGGGAUAACCUGAGGAAACUCAGGCUAAUACCGCAUACGUCCUACGGGAGAAAGCAGGGGCUCUUCGGACCUUGCGCUAUCGGAUGAGCUUAUGUCGGAUUAGCUGGUUGGUGAGGUAACGGCUCACCAAGGCGACGAUCCGUAGCUGGUCUGAGAGGAUGAUCAGCCACAUCGGGACUGAGACACGGCCCGAACUCCUACGGGAGGCAGCAGUGGGGAAUAUUGGACAAUGGGGGCAACCCUGAUCCAGCCAUGCCGCGUGUGUGAAGAAGGCCCUCGGGUUGUAAAGCACUUUCAGUGAGGAAGAAGGCUUGUCGGUUAAUACCCGGCAAGGGAGACAUCACUCACAGAAGAAGCACCGGCUAACUCCGUGCCAGCAGCCGCGGUAAUACGGAGGGUGCGAGCGUUAAUCGGAAUUACUGGGCGUAAAGCGUGCGUAGGCGGCUUGAUAAGCCGGUUGUGAAAGCCCCGGGCUCAACCUGGGAACGGCAUCCGGAACUGUCAGGCUAGAGUGCAGGAGAGGAAGGUAGAAUUCCCGGUGUAGCGGUGAAAUGCGUAGAGAUCGGGAGGAAUACCAGUGGCGAAGGCGGCCUUCUGGACUGACACUGACGCUGAGGUACGAAAGCGUGGGUAGCAAACAGGAUUAGAUACCCUGGUAGUCCACGCCGUAAACGAUGUCGACUAGCCGUUGGGGUCCUCGAGACCUUUGUGGCGCAGUUAACGCACUAAGUCGACCGCCUGGGGAGUACGGCCGCAAGGUUAAAACUCAAAUGAAUUGACGGGGGCCCGCACAAGCGGUGGAGCAUGUGGUUUAAUUCGAUGCAACGCGAAGAA